This 418-nucleotide ribosomal RNA is filed under the name uncultured Pseudomonadales bacterium. RNAcentral describes it as "bacterial SSU rRNA". It matches the Rfam family "Bacterial small subunit ribosomal RNA", at positions 30 to 448 of the family's 1533-position model. The record is from RNAcentral. Lineage: Bacteria; Pseudomonadati; Pseudomonadota; Gammaproteobacteria; Pseudomonadales.
AUUGAACGCUGGCGGCAGGCUUAACACAUGCAAGUCGAGCGGAGAUGAGGUGCUUGCACCUUAUCUUAGCGGCGGACGGGUGAGUAAUGCUUAGGAAUCUGCCUAUUAGUGGGGGACAACAUUCCGAAAGGAAUGCUAAUACCGCAUACGUCCUACGGGAGAAAGCAGGGGAUCUUCGGACCUUGCGCUAAUAGAUGAGCCUAAGUCGGAUUAGCUAGUUGGUGGGGUAAAGGCCUACCAAGGCGACGAUCUGUAGCGGGUCUGAGAGGAUGAUCCGCCACACUGGGACUGAGACACGGCCCAGACUCCUACGGGAGGCAGCAGUGGGGAAUAUUGGACAAUGGGCGCAAGCCUGAUCCAGCCAUGCCGCGUGAGUGAUGAAGGCCCUAGGGUUGUAAAGCUCUUUCACCGGAGAAGA